RNAcentral lists this ribosomal RNA (429 nucleotides) under uncultured delta proteobacterium. RNAcentral's name for it is "bacterial SSU rRNA". It matches the Rfam family "Bacterial small subunit ribosomal RNA", at positions 9 to 426 of the family's 1533-position model. The record is from RNAcentral. Lineage: Bacteria; Deltaproteobacteria.
GAGUUUGAUCGUGGCUCAGAGCGAACGCUGGCGGCGUGCCUAACACAUGCAAGUCGAACGUGAAAGAGGGGCAACUCUCGAGUAAAGUGGCGUACGGGUGAGUAACGCGUGGUAAUCUACCCGAGAGUCUGGAAUAACCUGCCGAAAGGCGGGCUAAUACUGGAUAGAGCGAAGAAUCCGUAAUUGGGUUUUUCGGGAAAGGGAGCUCGCAAGAGCCCUCGCUUUCGGAUGAGCCUGCGUCCCAUUAGGUAGUUGGUGGGGUAAAAGCCUACCAAGCCUGUGAUGGGUAGCUGGUCUGAGAGGAUGAUCAGCCACACUGGAACUGAAACACGGUCCAGACUCCUACGGGAGGCAGCAGUGGGGAAUCUUGCGCAAUGGACGAAAGUCUGACGCAGCCACGCCGCGUGAGUGAAGAAGGCCUUCGGUUGU